Molecule: long non-coding RNA, 807 nt
Organism: Neopelma chrysocephalum (saffron-crested tyrant-manakin)
Lineage: Eukaryota; Metazoa; Chordata; Aves; Passeriformes; Pipridae
Exons: 6
Source: RefSeq, a predicted model, not a curated record
GUCCUCUGCUUGCACUCAUUGCAUGGCUGCCAAAUACUUCCUUCUGUCGUAGAAGCAGCGACGGCACAAAAGGUGAAAAGUGAGAGAGAAACGACCCAGAAUCACUUUUUUUGGCAGCAAGAGUAGCAAAGCUUACCCUGAGUUUGUCCUGACCUACCUAGAGGAACUAAAUGAAAGAGAGGAGGUGACCCAGACAGAAAACCGUAUUCACCAUGGGGCCUGGUCUGCAGCUCAUCAGGAGAUAGACAGCAGCUCAGCAGAAGAGGUCACAGUAUUAAGCCAGAGGCAGGUUCUGCAAAAAAACAAUAUGUCAGCAACCCCAAUCAGAAACAACUUUCAGGACCUUUGGACGCCCAUUUGAUGCCUGCGGAUCCCCUGGGGGAGACUCCACAGCUGACAGUGGCACUGGUGAGGAAACCAGAAGCGAAACAUCCUAAGGCCCCAGCUCAAAGGAGAGGCCACACAGAGGAUCUCGGGCUCACAAAAGGAACAGCCGCCUUCUGCCGAUGGAUGGUGCCCUGGAGGAGAACAGGGGAAGCAGCAGCAAAUGAUGUCAGUGGUAAGGAAGCAAAGGAAGCUGCAGAAGUUCCAGACUUGUAGAGACUGUCUCUCAAAUACCUCAGGACUUGCCUGGAUGCAGCUCCCCUAACACUUCUUAAAACAACAGUGUCUGAGGAGGUGUGAACCAACGGGAAGGAGCAGGAUGAAAAAGUGGAAAGAGAGAUGAUGUUUGAAGCAAAUUUCUUCCGUCCUACUCCCAUGGUUCAAAUCCUGGCUGCACUGAAAUCAAGGAGAGUUUUGUCAGUG